This 250-nucleotide ribosomal RNA is filed under the name uncultured bacterium. RNAcentral's name for it is "partial 16S ribosomal RNA". It matches the Rfam family "Bacterial small subunit ribosomal RNA", at positions 528 to 777 of the family's 1533-position model. The record is from RNAcentral.
UAGGGGGCAAGCGUUAUCCGGAUUUACUGGGUGUAAAGGGAGCGUAGACGGCAUGGCAAGUCUGGUGUGAAAGGCAGGGGCUCAACCCCUGGACUGCAUUGGAAACUGUCAGGCUGGAGUGCAGGAGAGGUAAGUGGAAUUCCUAGUGUAGCGGUGAAAUGCGUAGAUAUUAGGAGGAACACCAGUGGCGAAGGCGACUUACUGGACUGUAACUGACGUUGAGGCUCGAAAGCGUGGGGAGCAAACAGGA